CAGGUCCUUUUUUCUGUUUUUCAGAAAUAGAUGAAGAGGGAACAAAUUCCACUUCUAGCAGAGAGCAAAGAAUUUACUGGCUCAGUGAAAAAAAUUGUAUGGUCAUCUGAACUGGUGUAGAAUGCCUUGAAAGAUAGCACAAAGCCUGAAUUGCAAGCAUUCUGAAGACACAGCCACUUAUGCACAUUUAAAAAACUGAAACUGCUGAUAUAGUGUACAAUGACGGGAAGGCCCACAGUAGGUCCCGUUGAAAACAUUCAGUAGAAGAGCAUCGUCUUUGCUGCGGUGGAAAAUUUCAUAAGGUAUAUAACAUAAAUAACCUCUCCUCAUCAUAUAGAUACACAUGAUUUUGCACCACGCAAAGCAGGGAGAAAUAACAUGGCUUGAAAUGCCAAUGCCAAUCUGUUUGCUUGGAGACAGAAGAUGGUUAAUAACACGCAUCAUCUGAACAUAUGCAUAAACCAGAUACUAUGAAUAAAAAAACCAAUUCAAAUUGAAAAUUAGGAUUAACGCAAAAACAUGCCAAAAAAAUUAGAAGUAAACACAUAACUUCAUUCAAAUAAAAGAAUUCAUACAGACAACCUAUAUAUAUAGGCCUCCAU
This 602-nucleotide long non-coding RNA is filed under the name Prunus persica (peach). RNAcentral's name for it is "long non-coding RNA (PPER_LNC006556)". The record is from RNAcentral. Lineage: Eukaryota; Viridiplantae; Streptophyta; Magnoliopsida; Rosales; Rosaceae.